AUUGAACGCUGGCGGCAUGCCUUACACAUGCAAGUCGAACGGCAGCGGACCUUCGGGUGCCGGCGAGUGGCGAACGGGUGAGUAAUAUAUCGGAACGUACCUUUCAGUGGGGGAUAGCGUAGCGAAAGUUACGCUAAUACCGCAUAUUCUGUGAGCAGGAAAGCAGGGGAUCGCAAGACCUUGCGCUGAUUGAGCGGCCGAUAUCAGAUUAGCUAGUUGGUGAGGUAAAGGCUCACCAAGGCGACGAUCUGUAGCGGGUCUGAGAGGAUGAUCCGCCACACUGGAACUGAGACACGGUCCAGACUCCUACGGGAGGCAGCAGUGGGGAAUUUUGGACAAUGGGCGCAAGCCUGAUCCAGCCAUGCCGCGUGAGUGAAGAAGGCC
This 384-nucleotide ribosomal RNA is filed under the name uncultured bacterium. Its description in RNAcentral is "bacterial SSU rRNA". It matches the Rfam family "Bacterial small subunit ribosomal RNA", at positions 30 to 416 of the family's 1533-position model. The record is from RNAcentral.